Molecule: long non-coding RNA, 719 nt
Filed under: Prunus persica (peach)
Lineage: Eukaryota; Viridiplantae; Streptophyta; Magnoliopsida; Rosales; Rosaceae
Description: long non-coding RNA (PPER_LNC007756)
Source: RNAcentral
CCUCAAAAUUUCGAAGAUGGCCCUACUCAUAUUAGAUUUAGAGGCACAAUGGUCAUUCCAUGCUCAGCCCCCAUAAGCUCCACCACUCCCAACACCACUCUAUAUCCAACCCCCAUCAUUCCCACCAGUGAAGAAUAAAGCGAAGGUCACAAUCCCAACGCCUCAACCACACCGGCAUUCUCCCUAGUCCUCAAACUUCAUCCAUAAAUUCCUCAUUGUUUUUAAAACCAAGUGUGGUUGUUUACUAAUGAAAUCAUAAUCACAAUUAGACCUGGAAAGAGGAAUUAAAGUUAAAUUUGGUAGGGAGUGGCACCUUUUAUUAAUGAAAUCAUAAUCAUUUUUAUUGCAUAUCGUUUUCUACUAUGGUUAUUCCAAAUCAAAUAGUGGGGCACCCCAAUCACACCAAAAAAUAAAAAAGGCAUUUAUCUGCGGCUUUCCAAAUCUAGGCCAUGGUGAAAAGAGAGGGUCAACUUGGCUAACAUUUAUGUUUUGUACAAUUUUAUUACAAGUUGCACUUAUUUGGUUUUUAGGCCAUUUUUAAUUGAAAACAACUUUUGUUUGUAUGACUUCAUUGUUUAGCAAGCCACAAAAUUUUAAAUUUUAAACAAAUGUCUAACUUGAAAUGUUUCUUUCAAAGAAAAACAAAACCUUGUAAACACUACACAUUUAUUGGAUUAAUUUCUAUUUUGUAUCCUGCAGUUGUAGUCGUAAGAUAUGUU